ACGUGUACCGGUUGAACACGGAGGUAGUGGUGAUAAUAUUUGACCGUGAAAGUAUACGGCGGCCUUUGACAAUACCAAGCCAAAUAUGUUUCACGGUCAAUCAGUCUGUCGGCUGAUUAGCUACGGUGGACAUUUGUUAAUGAGUCUGUGCGCUAUAUGGUAUUAUAACACCCGUUUACGUAAUCGACGUACGCGUGUUUUUUUGUUCUUUAUUACCAUAUUGUUGUUAUCCGGCCUAUUGUAUAUAGCCGUGAAAGACUUGUUUAAGAGUUGUGGUCUUAUUAAGUUUGGAGUUAUUGGUGAAAGCUUGAACACCGGUUUAUUCCGUUAUUGUUAGACUGUCAUUGUCAAAGUUGAAGCUACCACAUGAAAGACAUUCAAAACAGUAAAUAGAACGAGUUAAAUCCUGUUAUAAUAUUUUAUUUCUUUCUCACUAUGAAUCGAUGGAUGUAUGAUGGAACUUUGUACAAAUGUCAUUGUGGUUUAAAUAUUAUACUGAUCCAACGCGUUGUCGAUACUUUAAAUACAUGGCUGAAGAUUAUCACAACUGUAAUUGUCAUACCCAAGCAUCAUUAUGCAUUACUAGUACAGGAAGUAAUAAGGACAGACCGUAUUACUACUGUGCAAAACCGCGCACGAACCCACAAAGGUGCAAUUAUUUUAAAUGGUAUCAAGAUGAAUACUAAAAUUUCAAUAUCUAAUGUAAUAGUAUUUUUUUUUGUUUUCAAUAAGUGUUAAUUGGUAUACAUAAUAUACUGUAAAAACUUUUAUUUUAUUGAAUAAACAAUUCUAAGUAA
This is a long non-coding RNA of Daktulosphaira vitifoliae (grape phylloxera), 797 nucleotides long. RefSeq lists it as uncharacterized. NCBI's taxonomy places the organism in Eukaryota, Metazoa, Arthropoda, Insecta, Hemiptera, Phylloxeridae. The record is from RefSeq and is a predicted model, not a curated record. The transcript is spliced from 3 exons.